Molecule: ribosomal RNA, 495 nt
Filed under: uncultured bacterium
Lineage: Bacteria
Description: partial 16S ribosomal RNA
Rfam family: Bacterial small subunit ribosomal RNA
Source: RNAcentral
UGAACGCUGGCGGCGUACCUAAUACAUGCAAGUCGAGCGAACAGACGAGGAGCUUGCUCCUCUGACGUUAGCGGCGGACGGGUGAGUAACACGUGGAUAACCUACCUAUAAGACUGGGAUAACUUCGGGAAACCGGAGCUAAUACCGGAUAAUAUAUUGAACCGCAUGGUUCCAUAGUGAAAGACGGUUUUGCUGUCACUUAUAGAUGGAUCCGCGCCGCAUUAGCUAGUUGGUAAGGUAACGGCUUACCAAGGCAACGAUGCGUAGCCGACCUGAGAGGGUGAUCGGCCACACUGGAACUGAGACACGGUCCAGACUCCUACGGGAGGCAGCAGUAGGGAAUCUUCCGCAAUGGGCGAAAGCCUGACGGAGCAACGCCGCGUGAGUGAUGAAGGUCUUCGGAUCGUAAAACUCUGUUAUUAGGGAAGAACAAAUGUGUAAGUAACUAUGCACGUCUUGACGGUACCUAAUCAGAAAGCCACGGCUAACUACGUG